CAUCAGCUGCUGCCAUGUGAGGGCGCCUCUCCAGUACCCUCAGCUCUGGUCCUGCGCACUUUCCAAACCCCUCCUCUCUACUCCUUAUCUGGGGAUAGGCCUUUGUUAUCUAGGUCCCGCUAUUGCUAGGACUCCUCCAUCUUGUGGGCAAGUUAUCUGCUUCUUUAUGGCUUAAAAGCUUCCCACCCAUACCCAGAUACCUUCCCAGCUUUAACCUUGACAUCAGUGUCUGUAACAAAUGACUACAAACAUGGUACCUAACGCAAGAGAAAUUUAUUCCCUCACAGUUCUGGAUACCAAAUCAAGGUGUCAUGAGGCCAUAUUCCCUAUGACGGCUCUAGGGGAGAAUCCUUCCUGGCCUCUUCCAGCUUCUGGUGGCUC
This is a non-coding RNA of Callorhinus ursinus (northern fur seal), 381 nucleotides long. The record is from RefSeq and is a predicted model, not a curated record. NCBI's taxonomy places the organism in Eukaryota, Metazoa, Chordata, Mammalia, Carnivora, Otariidae.